CCUUAGAGUUUGAUCCUGGCUCAGGACGAACGCUGGCGGCGCGCCUAACACAUGCAAGUCGAACGGGACUAUGCUGGAAGAAGUUUUCGGAUGGAUUUUGGUAUAGUUUAGUGGCGGACGGGUGAGUAACACGUGAGCAACCUGCCUUCGAGAGGGGAAUAACGGCUGGAAACGGUCGCUAAUACCGCAUAAUAUACAGGAGGGACAUCCCUUUUGUAUCAAAGAUUUAUCGCUCGAAGAUGGGCUCGCGUCCGAUUAGGUAGUUGGUGAGGUAACGGCCCACCAAGCCGACAAUCGGUAGCCGGACUGAGAGGUUGAACGGCCACAUUGGGACUGAGACACGGCCCAGACUCCUACGGGAGGCAGCAGUGGGGGAUAUUGUACAAUGGGGGAAACCCUGAUGCAGCGACGCCGCGUGUGGGAAGACGGUCCUCUGGAUUGUAAACCACUGUCCCCAGGGACGAAGAUGACGGUACCUGGGGAGGAAGCUCCGGCUAACUACGUGCCAGCAGCCGCGGUAAUACGUAGGGAGCAAGCGUUGUCCGGAAUUACUGGGUGUAAAGGGAGCGUAGGCGGGAUGGCAAGUUGGGUGUUAAAUCUACCGGCUCAACUGGUAGUCGCACUCAAAACUGCUAUUCUUGAGUGAAGUAGAGGCAGGCGGAAUUCCUAGUGUAGCGGUGAAAUGCGUAGAUAUUAGGAGGAACACCAGUGGCGAAGGCGGCCUGCUGGGCUUUUACUGACGCUGAGGCUCGAAAGUGUGGGGAGCAAACAGGAUUAGAUACCCUGGUAGUCCACACCGUAAACGAUGAUUACUAGGUGUGGGGGGUCUGACCCCCUCCGUGCCGGAGCAAACGCAAUAAGUAAUCCACCUGGGGAGUACGGCCGCAAGGUUGAAACUCAAAGGAAUUGACGGGGGCCCGCACAAGCAGUGGAGUAUGUGGUUUAAUUCGAAGCAACGCGAAGAACCUUACCAGGUCUUGACAUCGUGUGCAUAGCCUAGAGAUAGGUGAAGUCCUUCGGGACACACAGACAGGUGGUGCAUGGUUGUCGUCAGCUCGUGUCGUGAGAUGUUGGGUUAAGUCCCGCAACGAGCGCAACCCUUGUAUUUAGUUGCUACGCAAGAGCACUCUAGAUAGACUGCCGUUGACAAAACGGAGGAAGGUGGGGAUGACGUCAAAUCAUCAUGCCCCUUACGACCUGGGCCACACACGUACUACAAUGGCGCACAACAGAGGGAAGCAAGACAGCGAUGUGGAGCAAACCCCUAAAAUGCGUCCCAGUUCAGAUUGCAGGCUGCAACCCGCCUGCAUGAAGUCGGAAUUGCUAGUAAUCGCGGAUCAGCAUGCCGCGGUGAAUACGUUCCCGGGCCUUGUACACACCGCCCGUCA
This 1388-nucleotide ribosomal RNA is filed under the name uncultured bacterium. Its description in RNAcentral is "bacterial SSU rRNA". It matches the Rfam family "Bacterial small subunit ribosomal RNA". The record is from RNAcentral.